RNAcentral lists this ribosomal RNA (501 nucleotides) under uncultured bacterium. Its description in RNAcentral is "bacterial SSU rRNA". It matches the Rfam family "Bacterial small subunit ribosomal RNA", at positions 28 to 507 of the family's 1533-position model. The record is from RNAcentral.
GAUGAACGCUAGCGACAGGCUUAACACAUACAAGUCGAGGGGCAGCGGGGGCGAAAGCUUGCUUUCGCCUGCCGGCGACCGGCGCACGGGUGAGUAACACGUAUGCAACCUGCCCGCAGCAGGGGGAUAAGCCGGAGAAAUCCGGUCUAAUACCGCGUAAAACCCCGAGGGGACAUCCCCAUGGGGUCAAAGGAGCAAUCCGGCUGCGGAUGGGCAUGCGUCGCAUUAGGCAGUUGGCGGGGUAACGGCCCACCAAACCGACGAUGCGUAGGGGUUCUGAGAGGAAGGUCCCCCACACUGGUACUGAGACACGGACCAGACUCCUACGGGAGGCAGCAGUGAGGAAUAUUGGUCAAUGGGCGGAAGCCUGAACCAGCCAAGUCGCGUGAGGGAAGACGGUCCUAUGGAAUUGGUAAAACCCUCUUUUUGCCGGGGGAGCAAGCCGGGUCUGCGGACCCGCGUUGAGAGUACCCGGAGAAAAAGCAAUCGGCUAACUCCGUG